Molecule: long non-coding RNA, 451 nt
Organism: Orbicella faveolata
Lineage: Eukaryota; Metazoa; Cnidaria; Anthozoa; Scleractinia; Merulinidae
Source: RefSeq, a predicted model, not a curated record
GUCCGUUAGAACGGGAUUAAAAGGCGCACGCACGCUCGUUAAGAGCCAAAACGAACUGGUUCAGCUUCCUGAAGUUCCGCAACAUGCACAAAACACUGGUGUUUGGACUUCUCCUCUUUUGCAUCGCAUUUCUCGCGAUGAAAGAAGGCACUGGGGCGGUGCAUUGUCCUCCGUAUAGUAGAAUUCCGCACUGUAACAAAGUAAAGAGUUUUAAGAGAGGAAUCUGCCGCGCUGUUCGACGACUGAACUGCGAACAACUCCUGCAAGACGAAAACUUGAACCAAAGAGUUCAGCAAUAUUAACCGCCAAAAUAACAACUUGAAAACAUUCUGUAACGUUGCAACAUUCUGUAGCCUCAAGUAAAGUGGUAAAAAGCUUACUUGGUACUAAAUUUUAAAAGAGAUUGUCAAUGAACUAAAAAUUAAAGUUUCAGUUUGUUUUUAAUACUUCA